Molecule: long non-coding RNA, 3380 nt
Filed under: Heterocephalus glaber (naked mole-rat)
Lineage: Eukaryota; Metazoa; Chordata; Mammalia; Rodentia; Bathyergidae
Description: lncRNA (ENSHGLG00100036552.1)
Source: RNAcentral
UAUUUCGCCCUACAGUUUCCGGCCAUGGUCGGUAGGCUCCAAAACAAACAGCGCCGUCGAAGGCCCUGGCAGAGGAAAGGUGCUCACCCCACAGCAGCAGGAGGCAGAGAAGGGAGAGCUGUGCACAAGAACACGCCCUUCCAGGUCACGCCCCUCUUGGCCACCUGGGCCCAGGCCCCACCUCCUGACAGCACAUUCAGUUGCUGAACUCCUCAAAUGGAUGAAUCCACGGACAAGCAUAACACCAACCCGACCUUCCAAAUACAGGAGAGUCACGGUGCACACUUCUAAGCCGUAACACACUGGAACCUCUGAAAUCAGGAGCCAAACUAAACCUGUCCUCUUGCUGCUCCACAAAUCAAGUAGCGCACGAAGGCCAGACCCACUGGGUUUGCUGGACAGGCAGGUCCUGUGGGACCUGCAGACCCCAGCGCCCCGGCUAACCCUCCCGCUGAAAGGCCUCUGUUUAAGUAUUUACUGAGAGCAAAGCAGGGAACAGACGAAUGGACAAUGGGGGACUACAAGGUGGAGGAGAAGUCUCCACGGCUACCAGGAGGUGGGUGGGCAGGACUAAGCUGGACGUUUGAGCAACAUCGGCCAUCGACAGACUGGUUUCAUUAGAGCUGCGCUCCAUGCCUCCAGUAUACGGCCCAGUUUGUAUGUUUAGUACUUGAGGGUGAAACCAGGAACCUCCAGGCCGCGGGCACGGAGCAAUGGCGAAUGCGUAUUUUUUCCAAAGGUGCAAAUGGGAAGAGGAUCCAUGUACCGAAAGGCUCAGGCACUUCUCUGAAAGCUACUCCUCAGGUGUAUUUCCUGUCCCUUCACACUGCCUGGGCCUUCUCUGAUCCUACUUGGUGCCGUUCAGAGCUGGUCUGCAUGUUGACAGCUACAAGGGAAAAGACAAGCUGCAAAGCACAGGAUACAGACUGGCUCGCUGAUGGCAGCCCUCGCUCUUACCCCGGAGGCCGGGGCGAGGCGAGGAGGAUUUUGUUCAAUUACGCAGUCUAACCUCUAGCUAUCACGAAAGGGCAACAAUUGGCAAUAUGCAAAUCCAGCCCUCAGAACCUCAGAGGCAGGACCAAGCUGAAUGUUGUGAUCCAAGCAAAGAUGGUUUCCUUGACAAAAACUGACUUCAACUUAGCCACAAUCCGAAGUGCUGACGAACACGGGUGUUUCUGCCACCUGCAGGCUGUGACACUCCAGGAUUUACAGCUGAUUUCACAAACUCAGCCUUAAGGACCACAGUGGGGAAGCCUUUAGUUAACAAUGGCAUGGCUGAUGGUCCAGAUUCUCUUAUUUCCCAGGUGACCCAAGUCCACAACACAGAAUCUGCUAUGCUUGGUGUCUGUAAGACUCAAAGGCCCGAGGAAUAGAUUUCCUCAUUUCGCCAAACCCACAUUUGACCUGUAUCUUGGAUAGCAUCGACCAUUUAUUGGCCUCUUGCUAGCCUCAAAGGAUCCAGCCAUUUUCGAGUUCACAAAGAAUCACUACCCUUGGACAGCUUGUGAUGUGAUUGGCCAGGCAAAGCCCCUGUACUAAAGCACAACCAAGACAAGUCUACCUGAAAGGUUCCCAUGGCUCCCUCAUCAGUGGGUACAAACAAGGUCACGUCAGUAUUAAUGGCCAGGUUUUGAUUACUCAAGAGUCCCCACCAACCACUGUGGAAAUCAGUAUGGAGAUAUCUCAAAGAACUAGGACUGGAAGUCCCAUUUGACCCAGCUAUUCCCCUGCUGGGUAUCUUCCCCAAAGAAUUAAAAGAACCAUACCACAGUGAUAUAUGUGCACCCAUGUUCAUAGCAGCAUAGUUUUUAAGAGCUAAAACUUGGAAAUAGCCGACAUGCGCAUCAACUGGAGACUGGAUAAAGAAGUGGUUUUUUUGUAUAAAAUGGAGUACUACUCAGCCAUAAAGAGGGUCCUGCAGGGAGGAGGUCAGAGGCAGAGACUUCUCCAACCCCUCUGAGCCACAGCUAACCACCUCCACGGAACCAUUUCUAUGUCUGCUGGAUGGAUGGAUGCACGCAUGCAGGGGGAAGCUCUGCUCUGCUCUGCUCUGCUCCUGCUCCUGCUCCUGCACCUGCUCCUGCUCCUGCUCCUGCUCCUGCUCCUGCUCCUGCUCCUGCUCCUGUUCCUGUUCCUGCUCCUGCUCCUGUUCCUGCUCCUGCUCCUGCUCGGCUCUGCUCUGCUCUGCUCUCUUGGGGAAAAGCCAAGAGAGGCAGUAGUUGAACUCAAUCCAGGACCUGAAAGCAUUCUGCAAGGGGAGUUGUCUUUGUUCUCCUGCAAGGUUUCCAGUGGAGAUAAAUGCGUUCCACAUGGCCCAGGAGGAGAAGGCUUCUUUCCACUUGCUUUUGAUCCUUCGACACUGCAGCGUGUAAACACUUAUCAUUCCAGAGUCUUCCAGAACCACAGGUCCUUCCCUGACCUCCCACCCUACCGGAGUGGCAUGACCGUGUCCCACACCACCCUGUAGCCGCCACCACCCAAGUGGAGAGCCAUGGUCAUGAGCCCCAUGGAACUGUCCUUGCCAGAAAGGACCCAAAGCAUAGGUUGCCCGGUGGCCUUUGCCUGUGGCCAGGCAGGCUUCAUGCCUAAACGCAGUCUUCCCUGUGGGCCCAGUUUCACUGUUCCUCCUUGACAGGCCAACUACCAGAUGAAGUCAGAUGAAAAAGGGGACGCGCCCUCACGGCCCCUGCUGGAGACUUCAGCUGUCACAGUCUCUCUGCAGGAAAACUGUACGUGAGUAAAUAAACGCAAAAGGAAACACUCUCACGUCCAGGAAUCUACCCCUAGGAAGUAAGUGAAAUGAUUUACACAUAAGAUGCUUCCUACAUCAUUUUAAAAAGUUUUUAAGGGGCCGGGGAUUUAGCUCAGUGGUUUCGCCACCUACUGCACAAGCACAAGGACCCAAGUUCGACCCCCAGUACCAAAAAAAUAAAGUUUUUAAAAAGGCAAGGCGGGGAACAACCUAAGUAAUUAAGGAUAGGGGAGUAAAUGGCUUCCUGCACUUUGACAACUGUGACAUAAGCCUACCAAAACUCAUAUUGGAGUAUAUGCCCUAAUAAAAAAUGAUAAAUAUUUAUUUUUAUAAAUUGCACCUGGGUACUAUUGAGCCAAAAUAUUAUGUGCAUGAUCAAAUACACAUUAUGGUCACUGUAAACAGUGUUUUAAAUUUAUUUUAUUCAUUUAUACUACAAAAAUAUUUUGGUAUAGAGAAAUGCAAUUUUUGAUAUGUUCUAUUAUUUGUGUAACUUUUAGGUCAACACUUUAUGAUACAAUUGAAGAUUCAGUGUAUUUUUAUACUAGGUUUUGAUAGUUACCAUAAUUGAAAACAUUCUUUUAUGAUGACACAGAUAAAAUAGUAUAAAAGCAAUAAUUGACCAUAU